Molecule: ribosomal RNA, 253 nt
Filed under: Roseburia faecis M72/1
Lineage: Bacteria; Bacillati; Bacillota; Clostridia; Lachnospirales; Lachnospiraceae
Description: partial 16S ribosomal RNA
Rfam family: Bacterial small subunit ribosomal RNA
Source: RNAcentral
UACGUAUGGUGCAAGCGUUAUCCGGAUUUACUGGGUGUAAAGGGAGCGCAGGCGGUGCGGCAAGUCUGAUGUGAAAGCCCGGGGCUCAACCCCGGUACUGCAUUGGAAACUGUCGUACUAGAGUGUCGGAGGGGUGAGCGGAAUUCCUAGUGUAGCGGUGAAAUGCGUAGAUAUUAGGAGGAACACCAGUGGCGAAGGCGGCUUACUGGACGAUAACUGACGCUGAGGCUCGAAAGCGUGGGGAGCAAACAGG